UACGUAGGGUGCGAGCGUUGUCCGGAAUUAUUGGGCGUAAAGAGCUCGUAGGCGGUCUGUCGCGUCGAUCGUGAAAACUUGGGGCUUAACCCUGAGCUUGCGGUCGAUACGGGCAUGACUGGAGUUCGGCAGGGGAGACUGGAAUUCCUGGUGUAGCGGUGAAAUGCGCAGAUAUCAGGAGGAACACCUAUUGCGAAGGCAGCUCGCUGGGACGUAACUGACGCUGAGACGCGAAAGCGUGGGGAGCAAACAGG
Molecule: ribosomal RNA, 254 nt
Filed under: uncultured bacterium
Lineage: Bacteria
Description: partial 16S ribosomal RNA
Rfam family: Bacterial small subunit ribosomal RNA
Source: RNAcentral